This 3135-nucleotide ribosomal RNA is filed under the name Chaetothyriales sp. MP-2014. RNAcentral's name for it is "eukaryotic LSU rRNA". The stretch from base 2214 to 3135 matches the Rfam family "Eukaryotic large subunit ribosomal RNA", at positions 1 to 943 of the family's 3401-position model. The record is from RNAcentral. Lineage: Eukaryota; Fungi; Ascomycota; Eurotiomycetes; Chaetothyriales.
AUGGCUCAGUGAGGCCUUGGGACUGGCUCAGAGAGGUCGGCAACGACCACUCAGAGCCGGAAACUUGGUCAAACUUGGUCAUUUAGAGGAAGUAAAAGUCGUAACAAGGUUUCCGUGCCUGACACCCUCCGGGGUUCGAGGCCGGGAUGAGAAGUGAUUCCUUCCACAGGUGGCGCUUCGGAAGCCUUAGCAGCCUGAAAGGGUGGCCCUCUAACGACGAUAAACAAAAAGAGGUGCUGAAAUGCUAGUCAGUUUAAUACACUGGCGACACCGUCAAAUUGCGGGAACCCCCUAAAGACUUCUGCUACCAAGCAGUGCUGGGAAACCUCACUGUGGCCAGGGUAAUGACCUCGGGUAUGGUAACAACGCAGAGUAUGAUCCUCUGGUAUUCAGUGGUGAAAUGGGCGAUCUGCAGCCAAGUCCGUCGUGCUCCUUUGGGGUGCCGGAUGCCGUUCACAGGCCAAAUGGUGGUGGGUUGAUUUGGGAUCAAGUCAGCUUAAGAUAUGGUCGGACCCCUGGGAAACCUUGUGGGGCAGUCACCACGUAGUCAAUGGAGGCGGGGAGCGAAAAAGUGCAAGCUUCUCGCCAUGGGCGACUACGACAACCAGGAGUAAUGUACUUGGAGAAUACGGGCAUAGGCUUUUGGGAUGUUCUGAGGGAAAGUCAGAAAGUGGUAGUUGUUAUUGUCUAAGUGUUGAAGAUCUAAUUGAAGAAUCGAAGAUCAAAGGUGCAAGGCAUAUUGCCAUGUAUCGCCGCGCACAUACCCAUAUUGGCUUGACAAUGAUUGUGUAAAUCCACCUCUGACCAGCCCGCAGGCACCAUUCCCAUCUGCCAGUACCAAAUCUGCAAUUCCAUGUACAUGAAACACAACAACCUUGACCUAUUGACACUGUUUCCUUCGCUGAUCAGGGUCGUUGGAUUGAUAUUCCUAAGACUUGAUUAGUAGACUGCACAGAUCACACACUGGAGCGGGGAACUUACCUGAAGUAUGUUCUCCGAUGUACAGAGUGUGGGAGACAUCGCUGGCUUGAGGAUCGACGCCGUAGUGAGCUUUGAAAGCGAUGGUGUGCAUCAGGUACUUGGUGCCGGCAUAUCUGAUCUGAGUGUAGCCGUCAUGCGUUUGAGCGUAUGGUGACAACACUGGCUUUGCAGGCCAGAUCGGAGGGGAGACAAGCAAUUGGUGCAAUUCAGUUUGAGUGAGGUGAGGAUUGUGCGAACCGAAGUCUUUUGACCGAAUGCAUUGAUGGACUGCUGCGAUGCACUGAGCUUGAGUCAAGUUUGAAACAGACAUCGUGAAUUCGAUAUCUGAUCCAUGACGAGAUGGUGGCAUAGUGCUGCAGAAAGUCAGAGAGAAUAUCAAUGCAAAAGUGGGACGCACCUACCUUUUCUACUCAUCCUGCCUAUUUUGAGGUUGAUUUGUGCAGGUGCAAUACAUAUAGUUCAUUUUUUGGAAGGCGCGAGGGUUCAAUUCUAGCAGGCGCGACUACUUUUUGGUUUUUGCAAAAUCGGAAGGUGCGUGGGCCACCGUCGAUGGCAGCGGCGCCCCUCGUGGGCGUAGUUGCCGUGGGAGUGCCCCCUGUGUAAUUGAACGUGGCCCGCCCUUCCCAAUGAACUAGCUAUACUGCAUACACGCUCCUGGGUGUACCACAAAAAUGUUCCGUAGGUGAACCUGCGGAAGGAUCAUUACCGAGUUAGGGUCUCUCCAGGCCCGACCUCCCAACCCUAUGUCUACUGAACCUUCGUUGCUUCGGCGGACCCGCCUUUGGGCCGCCGGAGGACCGCCCCAAGGCGUCCUCUGGCCCGCGUCCGUCGACGGCCAACCUCAAAAACGCUGAAAUAACCGUGUUGUGUGUCUCAGUCCCACGAUUAAAUUAAAGCAAAACUUUCAACAACGGAUCUCUUGGUUCUGGCAUCGAUGAAGAACGCAGCGAAAUGCGAUAAGUAAUGCGAAUUGCAGAAUUCCAGUGAGUCAUCGAAUCUUUGAACGCACAUUGCGCCCUUUGGCAUUCCGAAGGGCAUGCCUGUUCGAGCGUCAUUAUCACCCCUCGGGCCCCGUGCCCGAUGUUGGACGGCUGGUUGGGCAACCGACCCCUCCUAAAGACAAUGACGGCGGCCUGUGGCGCCCCCGGUACACUGAGCUUUUCACAGAGCACGUACCGGACGAGGGCGCCCGGGACCCGGUCCUCUCCUUUCAGUAGGAAACUUCUCAAGGUUGACCUCGGAUCAGGUAGGAAUACGCGCUGAACUUAAGCAUAUCAAUAAGCGCAGGAAAAGAAACCAACAGGGAUUACCUCAGUAACGGCGAGUGAAGCGGUAAUAGCUCAAAUUUGAAAUCUGGCCUCUCGGGGUCCGAGUUGUAAUUUGUAGAGGAUGUUUUGGGUACCGCCCCGGUCUAAAUUUCUUGGAACAGAAUGUCAUAGAGGGUGAGAAUCCCGUCUUGGACCCGCGGUAGGGCCUGUGUAAAACUCCUUCGACGAGUCGAGUUGUUUGGGAAUGCAGCUCAAAAUGGGUGGUAAAUUUCAUCUAAAGCUAAAUAUUGGCCAGAGACCGAUAGCGCACAAGUAGAGUGAUCGAAAGAUGAAAAGCACUUUGAAAAGAGAGUUAAACAGUAUGUGAAAUUGUUGAAAGGGAAGCGCUUGCAACCAGACUUGAGCGCGGCGGUUCCCCCGGCCUUCUGGCCGGGCUACUCCGCCGUGUCCAGGCCAACAUCGGUUCUGAGGGUCGGUCAAAGGCCCCGGGAAUGUAUCUACCCACGGGUAGACUUAUAGACCGGGGUGUCAUGCGGCCUCUCGGGACCGAGGAACGCGCUUCGGCUCGGAUGUUGGCGUAAUGGUUGUCAGCGACCCGUCUUGAAACACGGACCAAGGAGUCUAACAUCUAUGCGAGUGUUUGGGUGUCAAACCCGGAACGCGGAAUGAAAGUGAACGGAGGUAGGAAGCUUCGGCUGCACUAUCGACCGAUCCUGAAGUUUACGGAAGGAUUUGAGUAAGAGCAUAGCUGUUGGGACCCGAAAGAUGGUGAACUAUGCCUGAAUAGGGUGAAGCCAGAGGAAACUCUGGUGGAGGCUCGCAGCGGUUCUGACGUGCAAAUCGAUCGUCAAAUUUGGGUAUAGGGGCGAAAGACUAAUCGAACCAU